GCCAGGGGUAAUCUGCCAUCUGCUGCCUUUGAACCCUGUGUCACUCUAUCCAAGAGACCACAUUUUCUUUCUGACUAUGAGUGAGGACCAGCACCCAGAAUGCAGAGCCAAGUGGCUAGAGCAUGAAGAGCUACUUCCAAGCCAGAAAAUAUUUAAAAGUCAAAGCCAGGUGAAUAGAAUCAUAUUGUAAAGCCCAGUAAGGGAAAGACAAAGCCUGAAGUAUCAAAGAUUGGGAAGACACCACAACGGGGCUGGGAACUAGAGCAGAGGUGAGAC
This 276-nucleotide long non-coding RNA is filed under the name Equus asinus (donkey). RNAcentral's name for it is "lncRNA (ENSEASG00005037383.1)". Lineage: Eukaryota; Metazoa; Chordata; Mammalia; Perissodactyla; Equidae. The record is from RNAcentral.